Lathyrus oleraceus (garden pea) is the source of this 824-nucleotide long non-coding RNA. RefSeq lists it as uncharacterized. The record is from RefSeq and is a predicted model, not a curated record. NCBI's taxonomy places the organism in Eukaryota, Viridiplantae, Streptophyta, Magnoliopsida, Fabales, Fabaceae. The transcript is spliced from 2 exons.
UUUCCAAAAUACACAAAAUACACUAGAUUUCCACUAAAGGUGAUGGGGUGUGCAUAAAAACCGGAUCAACUGACCCAAACUGUAAAUCUGGUGAACCAAACUAAAAAAAGCCCAAUCCACUUGCAUUUAACCUGAUCCAAUCCAUUUAAAAAAAUAAAUUAAAACGGGUCGGUUACCCAUUUACCUUCUCAAACCCUCCAAUCUGAAAACACAUUUCACAAACGCGAUUCCAUACCAAAACGUGAUUCCAAACUCAGCUUCUCCAAACGCGAUUCUCCAUCUCAGCUUCUUCUACUCCAAACGCGAUUCUUCAACUCAGCUUCUUCUACUCCAAACGCGAUUCUUCAACUUCUUUACAAAUCUCAGCUUCUUUCUUCGCACUUUCAGGUCAGAUUCAUCGGAUUCAAAGUCGGAUCGCAAGUUCGAUAAAAAGCUUCAAUUUUAUACCAGUAAGUUUUUCGACUUGGUUUAGUAGUACAUGGUUGUAUCUAAACCCUAACUAAGAGUAUUAGGUCAAAUCUGUGUUUAUAAACACUGACAUGUGAUCAGCUGUAGUAGAUUAGUAGUAGUUACUAUUGUAACAAGCAUUAUAAUUUGAGUAGUGUCUAAUUUCUAGUAUGUUUAUUAUAUAUAAUUAAUUAAUUGAUUAUCAUUACCAUCUUUGUUGGUUAUUCACCAAUUUGGUACCAUUGCUAUGGUGUUAAUAGAAGAGACACCCUACGGUUUCCUUUAGUUUAUUUUUCCUGAUACAUAGUAGACCCUUAGAAACUAAUGUUGCACUAGAAUGUUUAUCCAAUAAGAAGUUGAUUGUGUGAAUACCUUCA